GUGGAAACUUGUAGACUCUAUCCAUGCUAUUAUGACGUUCGUGAAUGAUGUUUGUGAUGUCAAUUUAUUAGCUUUCAGGCAGAACCACAUGGAAACUUGAAAACUGUGUCCAUGCUAUUUUGAUGUAUGUGAUGUCAAUUAUUUGCUUUGUGUAAAUGAUUUUUUGAACGCACCUUCAAUGAAUUCAAGUGAAGGAAUACAAUCCAGCCCAUCAAGAAGGCCAGGCAGAAGCCGCAGUAGAAGCUGAAGUCCUAGAAGGAACAAAAGGUAUUUUUCAAUUUGAAGUAUAUUUGCUUGAUAUCUAAGAUAGGCUUUAUUUUUUCAUUCAAGUAAUAUAUAUAUUCCUUGUGCAGCAAAUCAAUGGAUCGAUCUAUUUCAAGAUCACCAUCAAAAUCUCAUGUUAAACUAUCUAGGCAUUCGAGAAUGAACUUCUUCUAAUUUUAUAAUAUGCUUUCGAAUAUAAAUAUAUUGCCAAAAAUCAGUAAUCAAUUCUUUGCUUGCUUAAAUAUGCAAAUUUGGAUGAAGGUUAAUAUCAAUGCCACCAUUGGCAUCUACUUACCUAUUAAACUGUUCGUGCUCAACUAAAAAUUUGAGAAAUUAAAUCCAAAGCAGAGCAAGGUGAAAUAAUGGUUUAAGAAAUAUGUUGUGACAUUAAGAGAUUGGAUUUUCCGAAGAAGCACAUAGCUACAACUAUUGCCCUUCAUCGUCUUACCAUGCUAGGUUAGUCCUUUUAAUCCGAAAUUUGGACAUGAUAAUUUUGUUGUGGUUAAGCUUGUAAUUCUACUUCAGCUGGGUUUUGUUGCUCAUUGAACUGCACCGUGCUUGAAAAUAACUCUUUUAUUGAUGGACAUGUUCUCUUGAAUGUUUAGUUAAUUCAUUUGGCUUGGGUGUCUUUUUGAGAAAUUUUAUAUUCUCGAUGCCAAACUCAAUUUCUUUGACAAGAACAAACAGGAGUAUGAUCGAAAUUUUGCAAGGCACCAUAAUCUCGAAAAAGUAAAUUAAUCCAGUGACAAACCAAUCAAUUAUUGAAGUAUGUUAUUUUAGUAAGUAAAUGUUGAUUCUUUGCUAUAAAUAAAUCUUCCAUUCUACAAAGAUUCGCUCUCAGAUAGACCUCGACUUAUAUUGGUACUGAGGACUUCAUUGAAGGAAGAGCGAGCGCUGCCAAUAUGCUGAUAAACAUGCAUAAUAAUUAUAUUAUCUGGCUGUCAAAUUUUUAUAGAUCUCUCAUUCUUUUGACCCUUAGUUGUUACUUGGGUUAAUUUCUCGACUUAUAAAGGUUAGUACCCUUACUCUUUAUUAAAUCUCUUUCACUAUUAUCAUCGACCUAAAAAAUAUUAACCAAAAGUAAACCCUAACGUAAUCCUUUCUCCUUACACACACGCACACAUGUAUGUACACAUAAAACUUGGCAACGUGUUGUGUCAUGUUUUCUGUAUGGCUGUUCGUGUUCUCACCUCAUUCACAUUUUAUUUCUGUUCGUUUUUAUUGGUACGCAAUUUUUCAUUUACCCGAUGCACUAUGACGUCAUUUUUCAGAACAAGCAGUGAUUAUUGAAACCUAGGUGGUUUUGAGAAUAACUUAAUGUUUGGCAAACUAUUUAUGCUGAAGGUUCAUGUUGUAGUAAAUUUACAAUGUGCGUUGUGUCAGAACUUGACAUGAGAUGUAGUUUGAUUGCUUGGGCUUGGAUCCUUCAAGCAAGCCAGUGUUCUUUAUGAGCUAUGGGGUAACAUUUGAAAAGUAAAUGGACUAUGACAUGAUUUUUCAGAGUAGACAAGCAGUGAUUUCUGAUGUUAGGCAAACUAUCUAUGCUGAACGUUCACGUUGUAGAAAAUUUACAAUGUGCGUUGUGUAAGAACUUUGACAUGAGAUGUAGUUUGAUUGCUUGGGCUUGGAUCCUCCAAACAAGCCAGUGUUCUUUAUGAGCUACGGGGUAACAUUUGAAAAUGGCUCCAAUACCUUUGAAGUUAAGCGAUAGAAAAAGGCUUGUGAUGGUUUGUAAUUAGAUUAAUGUAUAGUGAUUUGAAGAAUCAAUAUUUCACUGUGGCUUGGAGGAUUUUAUACAAAACAAAAUUUAAACAAUGAAGAUUGAGCAACUUUAAUGGACAAUAUAAUUGAAGGAGGAAACAAUAAUUUAUUCAAAAAUUGACAAUGUAGGCGGUUGUAUUACAAUUAAUUGGAAGAUUUUUUCUUACUCCAUUUUGAUUCCUUUGGUAGUUUCUAUUGCUAGUGAAAAUUGUGGUGCAUAUUCAUAAUUUUAGAUAUCUUACACCAUUUUGAAUUCUUCAGUAGCUUACUUUGUCAUGAAUUGUGGUAGCUUCCCAAAUUUUACAUGGUGGUAGCUGUGUAAAAUGAGAAGUGCUACACGUACAGCACAUCCGACAGCAUAGUUGAUAGCAUUCUUACAUACAGGACCGCCCGCAAAGUUUGUGAGAGGGUUGUAUGCUUUUACAGCACAAGUAUCAUUUCCUAUGUAAAAUUGUGGUUUCUCACAAAAUAAAUUGUGAUUGAAAUAUUAUUGAGGUAAUUUAGAUCAUUCUGUAAAUUGAUGAAAAGGAUAUGAAAUCCAUUUCAUCUUAUAUACACCCUUAAAUUUCAACAUUAAUAGUGUUGUGAUAGUAGAUUUAACUUUCUAUUUUUUUUGCAUGACCCUUUUCUUUAUUCUUUGAACACUUCUUGUUUGUUCUCUUCAUUUCUCUUAAAAAUUCGUGUUCGUAGAAAUGGCUUUGUCUGUCUCUGCAAUUGGUUUUGAAAAGAGGGUCGAAAUCUCUUUUUUUUUUUUUUUAGAAGAGUAACUUUCUUGAUCUUGAAAAUAAUGGUCUUCAAUCACUUUUCAACGCACAAUUGGAAGAUAUUCUUGAACCUGCUAAGUGCACCUUUGUUUAUUCACUUUCGAAUGAAUCUGUUGAGUCAUACGUACUCUCUGAGCUGAGCCUUUGUUUAUCUUUACAAGAUAAUCAUCAAAACAUUUUUGUUGUUUCUCGGAAUUGUCCAUAGCAUAAGCUUUUCUACGUGAACCAAUUUUCCCAAAAUUGCUAUCUAAGACAAAAACUUCUUCCGAGAAGUUACAAUGGGGAUAAAACUGGGUUCCUGGGAAAAUAAAGCUUCCACAAGUAUGUCUCACAACUCGCAAUAAAAGAGAAAGGGUGCCAGCCAACUUCAGUAUUGGUGGAUUCAAUCAUGGCAACUUUAUUGUCCCACUGGUUUUGUUGUUUCUCAGAACUGCCCAUAACAUAAGCUUUGCUGCUUGAACCAAGUUCUCCAAAAUAGCUGUUUAGGACAGCGACUUCUGUUGAGAAGUUACAGUGGGGAUAAAACUGAGGUCCAAGGAAAAUGAAGCUUCCACACUUAUAUCUUGCAACUUGUAAUAAAAGAGAGGGAGCUAGGCAACUUCAGUACUGGUAGAUUUGAUCAUAGCAACUUCAUUAUCCUAAGGGUUUUGAUGAUUAUCUUCUAAGGAUAAACAAAGAGACUCGACUGAGAGAGGACGUAUGAAUCAAUAGAUUCACUCGAAAGUGAAGAAAUAAUGGUGUACUUGGCAAGUUCAAGAAUCUCUUCCAAUUGUACUUUGGAAAGUGAUCGAAGACCCUUCCCUUCAGGAUCAACAAAGAUGUUCGUCUCAGAAAAUGAGAUUUCGAGCUCUUUUCAAAACCAAUUGUAUCGACGGACAAUGCCAUUCCUAGGAACACUAAUUUUCAAGAGAAUUGAAGAGAACAAACAAAAAAGCAGUCUAAGAAUGGAGAAAAGGAGCUCGUAAAAAAAUAAGAAGUUAAAUUUACUAUCACUACACUAAUAAUGUUGGAGUUUUAAGGGUUUAUAUAAGAUGAAAUUCGUGAAUUGGUUUCAUAUCCUUUUCAUCAAUUCACAGAAUGAUGUGUACUAUCUUUGUAAUAUUCUGGUCAAUAUUCAUUUCGAAAAGCUAGCACAAUUUUAUAUAGCUACCACCUUGUGAAAAAUUUUGGGAAGCUACACAAUUUUCACGAUGAAGGAAGCUAAUAAAUGAUUCAAAAUGGUGUAAGAUUAUGUUAUGGACCACAAUUUUCAUCUAUAAUGGAAGCUACCAAAGGAUUCAAAAUGGUGUAAGAAAAAGCUUCCAAUUAAUUGUAAUACAAUAGCUUGCAUUGUCCACUUCUAAUUUUUGAAUAAAUUAUUGUUUCCUUCUUCAACUGUAUUGUCCAUUAAGAUUUCUCAAUUUUCAUUGCUUUUAUUUAUAUAAAAUCCACCAAACCAUAGUGAAAUAUUGAUUCUUCAAAUCGCCAUGUAUAAAUCUAAUUACAAACUUUAAACAUUUAUAAUCACGAACUAUGACAUCGUACAACACAUUUAGCUAGUUAGACAUGUGUAUGAUUAUAUUUGCCAAACAAAUUUCCAUAUGAGAACAUUUAUAUUAUACUAAAUUUUAAGGUCGGUUUAUCAAUUUUCUUACUUUUUUAUAUGAUUAUUUGCUAUAUUUUAUUGGUAGUUGUGUUAAUUUUAGUUUAUUUGCGUCUCAAUUUCUUGGUCAGGUCACUCAAUUAAUUAUUUACAUUUUUAUUUUUAUUUUUGAAUUUGCCUGUUAAUUGCUAGAAUGAUUUGAUGACUUAUUUAAAUAGCUGUUUUGAAAAUCGGACCAAGUCUUUAAACAUAUUACUUUAGCAAAAAUUGAAAGCAAAUAAGUACAAGGUUUUCGUGUUAGUUAUUCAAAUAUCUAAAAUUAUUUUUGAGUUUGCAUUUCCUAUUGGUCGAGAUUCUUAAUUCUUUUAGGAGUUAUCUUGAGUGAAAAUAUGGAUGAGACAGCGGUUUGCUUUAAAAACUGGUUGCAUAGAAAGAAAAAUAUAAUAAUUUGUCAAUAUUUUGAUGAUGUAGAAGUAUUGAAAAAUUCACAAAAUAUUAUAAAAGGCACUUUCGUAAUUGAUCUUUCUAUCCAUUUUCUUUUAUUAGUAAUUUUGUAUGAUUUAAUUAUAAUCAAUGAAAUCGUGUACUAUAUUCUUAUUUUUCUGGAGAAUGAAUCAUGUGUUACAAUUCCAGAUGUUGCUCCAAUUAGU
This 5021-nucleotide long non-coding RNA is filed under the name Olea europaea subsp. europaea. The record is from RNAcentral. Lineage: Eukaryota; Viridiplantae; Streptophyta; Magnoliopsida; Lamiales; Oleaceae.